This 685-nucleotide ribosomal RNA is filed under the name uncultured bacterium. RNAcentral's name for it is "bacterial SSU rRNA". It matches the Rfam family "Bacterial small subunit ribosomal RNA", at positions 1 to 651 of the family's 1533-position model. The record is from RNAcentral.
CACCGUGUCUCGCGAAUGCGCAUAGGAUUAAGUUUGAUCAUGGCUCAGACCGAACGCGNUAAGGCAGGCCUAACACAUGCAAGUCGAGCGGAUGACGGGAGCUUGCUCCUUGAUUCAGCGGCGGACGGGUGAGUAAUGCCUAGGAAUCUGCCUGGUUAGUGGGGGACAACGUUUCGAAAGGAACGCUAAUACCGCAUACGUCCUACGGGAGAAAGCAGGGGACCUUCGUGGCCUUGCGCUAUCAGAUGAGCCUAGGUCGGAUUAGCUAGUUGGUGGGGUAAUGGCUCACCAAGGCGACGAUCCGUAACUGGUCUGAGAGGAUGAUCAGUCACACUGGAACUGAGACACGGUCCAGACUCCUACGGGAGGCAGCAGUGGGGAAUAUUGGACAAUGGGCGAAAGCCUGAUCCAGCCAUGCCGCGUGUGUGAAGAAGGUCUUCGGAUUGUAAAGCACUUUAAGUUGGGAGGAAGGGCAGUAAGCUAAUACCUUGCUGUUUUGACGUUACCGACAGAAUAAGCACCGGCUAACUCUGUGCCAGCAGCCGCGGUAAUACAGAGGGUGCAAGCGUUAAUCGGAAUUACUGGGCGUAAAGCGCGCGUAAGGUGGUUUGUCUAAGUUGGAUGUGAAAGCCCCGGCUCAACCUUGGACUGCUUUCCCAAAAAACUUGGGCAAGCUAGAAGUANC